GACGAAUGCUGGCGGCGUGCCUAAUACAUGCGAGUAGAACGCUGAAGGAGGAGCUUGCUUCUCUGGAUGAGUUGCGAACGGGUGAGUAACGCGUAGGUAACCUGCCUGGUAGCGGGGGAUAACUUUUGGAAACGAUAGCUAAUACCGCAUAAUAGUAGAUGUUGCAUUACAUUUGCUUAAAAGGUGCAAUUGCAUCACUACCAGAUGGAGCUGCGUUGUAUUAGCUAGUUGGUGGGGUAAAGGCCCACCAAGGCGACGAUACGUAGGCGGCCUGAGAGGGGGGUGGGCCACACUGGGAAUGGGGAACGGCCCAGACGCCGACGGGAGGCAGCAGUGGGGAAUUUUCGGGAAGGGCCGGAAGUAUGACCAAGCAACGCCGCGGGGGGGAAGAAGGUUUUCGGGGCGUAAAGCUCUGUUGUAGGGAAAGAACGGGUGGAGGGGUGGAAAGUGCACCCUUGAAGGUAAUCUAACAAGAAAGGGCGGCUAAACUCGUG
RNAcentral lists this ribosomal RNA (494 nucleotides) under uncultured bacterium. Its description in RNAcentral is "partial 16S ribosomal RNA". It matches the Rfam family "Bacterial small subunit ribosomal RNA", at positions 28 to 507 of the family's 1533-position model. The record is from RNAcentral.